AGCUCCAAUAGCGUAUAUUAAAGUUGUUGCAGUUAAAAAGCUCGUAGUUGGAUUUGUGGAUUUCGCGGUUCGGUCGCACUAAUUGUGUGUACAUGAGUCGUGAGUCCAUCCUUGGGUGGAAUCUGUGUGGCAUUAGGUUGUCGUGCAGGGGAUGCCCAUCGUUUACUGUGAAAAAAUUAGAGUGUUCAAAGCAGGCUUAUGCCGUUGAAUAUAUUAGCAUGGAAUAAUAAGAUAGGACCUUGGUACUAUUUUGUUGGUUUGCGCACCGAGGUAAUGAUUAAUAGGGACAGUUGGGGGUAUUCGUAUUCCAUUGUCAGAGGUGAAAUUCUUGGAUUUUUGGAAGACGAACUACUGCGAAAGCAUUUACCAAGGAUGUUUUCA
This 381-nucleotide ribosomal RNA is filed under the name uncultured eukaryote. RNAcentral's name for it is "SSU rRNA". It matches the Rfam family "Eukaryotic small subunit ribosomal RNA", at positions 587 to 972 of the family's 1831-position model. The record is from RNAcentral.